This 132-nucleotide microRNA precursor is filed under the name Medicago truncatula (barrel medic). Its description in RNAcentral is "miR2612 stem-loop (mtr-MIR2612)". The record is from miRBase by way of RNAcentral. Lineage: Eukaryota; Viridiplantae; Streptophyta; Magnoliopsida; Fabales; Fabaceae.
AUAAGCUCUAUCAUGUAUUUGAUAGUGUCAACUAGUACAGAAAACCUAUCUAUCUAGCUACACAAUCAAAAUAUGUUAGAUAGAUAAGUUUUAUGUAGUAGUUGACAUUAUCAAAUACAUGAAAGAACUUGA